This 775-nucleotide ribosomal RNA is filed under the name uncultured Neocallimastigales. RNAcentral describes it as "partial large subunit ribosomal RNA". It matches the Rfam family "Eukaryotic large subunit ribosomal RNA", at positions 23 to 616 of the family's 3401-position model. The record is from RNAcentral. Lineage: Eukaryota; Fungi; Neocallimastigomycota; Neocallimastigomycetes; Neocallimastigales.
AGAGAGAGACAUGCGCGCAUAUCAAUAAGCGGAGGAAAAGAAACUAACAAGGAUUCCCCUAGUAACGGCGAGUGAAGCGGGAAGAGCUCAAAUUUGAAAUCUUAAAGGGUUUCCCUUUACGAAUUGUAGUUUAAAGAAGUGUUUUCUGUUGAGGUUUUGGUAAAAGUUCUUUGGAAUAGGACAUCAUAGAGGGUGAGAAUCCCGUAUUUGACCUUUACUUUCAACUUUGUGAUACACUUUCAAAGAGUCGGAUUGUUUGGGAAUGCAGUCCAAAAUGGGUGGUAAAUUUCAUCUAAAGCUAAAUAUUGGCGAGAGACCGAUAGCGAACAAGUACCAGUGAGGGAAAGAUGAAAAGAACUUUGAAAAGAGAGUUAAACAGUACGUGAAAUUGUCAAAAGGGAAGCGUUUGACACCAGUGUUGUUUUUCUGAAAAUCAAUUAAAGAACUGUUUAUGCUAAGCUGUUUAGACUUUAUCAGCUAACUGUUUAGUUUUGAGCUUUUCUUUAAUGCACUUUUCAGUUAACAAGUCAACAUCAAUUUCUUUUGCUGUAAAAAAGCUUGAGGAAGGUGGCUUGAGAUUCGUCUUAAGUGUUUAUAGCCUCUUGCCUAUGCAGUCGGAGAGAUUGAGGUCUGCAGCGUAGAUCCUUCGGGGCUAAAUGCAUUUGUGCUAAGUUAUAGCAUUUUAUAGACAACUUGUUGACUAUGAUUUGUCUUGUAGCUUACUCGCUUAUGUUAUUUUACCUACGCUUAGGAUGUUGAGCGCAUGUCUCUCUCU